UGGGGAAUAUUGGACAAUGGGCGCAAGCCUGAUCCAGCCAUGCCGCGUGAGUGAUGAAGGCCCUAGGGUUGUAAAGCUCUUUCGCCAGGGACGAUAAUGACAGUACCGGGAGAAUAAGCCCCGGCUAACUCCGUGCCAGCAGCCGCGGUAAUACGGAGGGGGCUAGCGUUGUUCGGAAUUACUGGGCGUAAAGCGCACGUAGGCGGCUUUGUAAGUUAGAGGUGAAAGCCCAGGGCUCAACCCUGGAAUUGCCUUUAAGACUGCAUCGCUAGAAUUGUGGAGAGGUGAGUGGAAUUCCGAGUGUAGAGGUGAAAUUCGUAGAUAUUCGGAAGAACACCAGUGGCGAAGGCGACUCGCUGGACACAUAUUGACGCUGAGGUGCGAAAGCGUGGGGAGCAAA
RNAcentral lists this ribosomal RNA (400 nucleotides) under uncultured bacterium. RNAcentral's name for it is "bacterial SSU rRNA". It matches the Rfam family "Bacterial small subunit ribosomal RNA", at positions 355 to 772 of the family's 1533-position model. The record is from RNAcentral.